Molecule: transfer RNA, 72 nt
Filed under: Camelus bactrianus (Bactrian camel)
Lineage: Eukaryota; Metazoa; Chordata; Mammalia; Artiodactyla; Camelidae
Also listed under: 2 other names
Rfam family: tRNA
About the family: Transfer RNA (tRNA) molecules are approximately 80 nucleotides in length. Their secondary structure includes four short double-helical elements and three loops (D, anti-codon, and T loops).
Source: Rfam by way of RNAcentral
GAGGGUAGAGCUCAGUGGUAGAGUACAUGCUUAGCAUGCAUGAGGUCCUGGGUUCAAUCCCUAGUACUUCCA